RNAcentral lists this ribosomal RNA (440 nucleotides) under uncultured bacterium. RNAcentral's name for it is "partial 16S ribosomal RNA". It matches the Rfam family "Bacterial small subunit ribosomal RNA", at positions 338 to 795 of the family's 1533-position model. The record is from RNAcentral.
CCUACGGGAGGCAGCAGUAGGGAAUAUUGCUCAAUGGGGGAAACCCUGAAGCAGCAACGCCGCGUGGAGGAUGAAGGUUUUCGGAUUGUAAACUCCUUUUGUUAGAGAAGAAAAUGACGGUAUCUAACGAAUAAGCACCGGCUAACUCCGUGCCAGCAGCCGCGGUAAUACGGAGGGUGCAAGCGUUAUUCGGAAUCACUGGGCGUAAAGAGCGCGUAGGCGGGAUAGCAAGUCAGAUGUGAAAUCCUAUGGCUUAACCAUAGAACUGCAUUUGAAACUGUUAUUCUAGAGUAUGGGAGAGGUAGGUGGAAUUCUUGGUGUAGGGGUAAAAUGCGUAGAGAUCAAGAGGAAUACUCAUUGCGAAGGCGGCCUGCUAGAACAUAACUGACGCUGAUGCGCGAAAGCGUGGGGAGCAAACAGGAUUAGAUACCCGAGUAGUC